AAUAGUGUGUGACUCCAAGUUAAUGUCGCUAUUUUCACCGAACCACCUCUGCCAAUGUCGACCAACCGCCGAUGCCUGUGUCUCCAGAUCGUGUUAAUUACUUGUGUCCGUGUUGGGAUGUUAAACGAUGAUGGGUGCUGUUGAAUUCUGGAAUUGGAUGCGAAAUUUGAUUUUCAGAAAAUUGGGGGUAUUGGCCGUGUACGGUGAUGUGCUGUUGUGGUGAAGAACCAAGUUUCUUUUUUUCUUAAAGAAGCAAAGUCUGGUGCAAUCUUCAAUGCGGCCUUUUGUUGGCUAGGUUAUUAACACGAUUUUUCAUUCUUUUUUCUAUAAAACAAAAAAGAAAGUUUUAUUAAAGUAAUUUUUAUUAGGAACUCAAAAUAUCUCCAGAACAAAAGUAUACUAAUUAACUUAAAUAAUGUUACCUAUAUCAAUAAGAAAAUAUCAAUAAAUUAGUAGUUUUUAAUAUUUAAAAAAAAAAACACAAAAUUAUAAUACAUUUUAAUUUAUUAUCAAACUUUUUAUUAUGUCAACUAAAAAUUAGUAUCACAUUUUUUAUUGGUGCUCGGUUCCUAACCGUCGGUUCUCGAUUCAGAAAAUGAGGAACCAGAACCGAACCGGUUUUUUCGGUUCCGGUUCCAGUUCCGGUCAAACCGGUUCUGAUUCGGUGUGUGUGUGUGUGUGUGUAUAUAUAAAAAUAUUUUACGUAUUUAAAAAAACAAUUAAGUUUUUUAAAUAUACUUUCCACUUAAAAAAAAAGAACUAUUUUUAAAACCAGGAACCGAACCGCAAGGAAUCGGAUUUUUUCGGUUUGGUUCCGGUUCCUCCAAAAUCGGAACCGGAACCAGAACCAGAACCGAACCAAACUGUGGCCAGGUCUAGAGUCAGCACGUGACAUGAAUUAGUUGGCUCGAUUAGUAAUAGGAUUAAAAUAUGGUUAUAAUCAUACACCAUUUUAAUGUAUUAGCUUUAUAAUUUUUAUUGGUUAUUCGAUCGAAGUGCAAAUGAGUUGAGCCGGCACGUGACAUGAUAAGUCGGCUCGAGGUUAGUUUGAACUCGAGCACUAGUUCUUCAAGCUCCAGAUUUCUAGUUGUUCGUGAGCUCACAAGCAGACUUCCGAGCUCUUUUUAAUUUCAAUAUUAAUUUUUUUUUAUUAUAAAUAUAAAUAAUAUAUAGUAAUAUGAAGUAUAGGGGGUGGUAAACGAGCUAAGCCGACUCGUGAACUCGAUGAGCCUGCUCGAAAAAUGGCUCGAACUCGAACUCGAGUUUUUCGAACUCGAGCCUUUUCUUAGUUGUUCAUGAACUCACGAGCCGACUCGCGACCCUUUUUUUGUAUUUUUUAUAUAUUAUUUUUUAUUUUAUAAUAUAUUAUAUUAUAAAUAUAAUAUAAAAAGAACAUAUAAAAAUUAAGAAAAUAUAAUUACGGUUCAUUAUUAGCAUUGUAAUUUUUUAUUAUAAUAUAAAUAAUUUUUAAUCAUAAAAAAUAAUAAUGAAAAAAAAACAAAAUGAGCUUCGGCUCGAGCUCGAGCUUGAAAAAUUGGACUCGAGCUUGGCUGGUUAGUCAUAAUCAACUAUUUUUUUACACAAAAAUAAUUAAAUUAUUUAUUAUGUUCAGGAAUUCAACAAUUUUCUAAUGUAUAUGUAGUUAAAGAAGAAAAAUGAGAGAAAUCGAAAAGUAAACAAUUGGCGGUCAUCUAAAAAAUUUCAUCAAUUUCUCAAUCCUAAAAAUUCUUGUUUUUUACCUGCAAAACAAUUGGCGCAAAAUAUGUUUUUCUUUUAAAUUAAUUGAUAUGUAUAUAUUUUUAUUCUAAAAACCAAUAUUUUCAGAACCGGACCGGACAUAAAACCAGAUAGGUAUUCGGGUCACGGUUGGACCGGUUCAACCGGGUUCGACCCGGGUUUUUUCAUUUUUUUUAAUAGUUAAUUUUUUUUUUUAAAUAUAAAAUAUAAUUCUGUGUACUUUAUAUCAUUUAUUCACCUUAAAAUCUAACCCAACAUUUAUAAUAUAAUUUCUUUUAAUUAAUAUGUCUGAUUUAAUUUUAAUAUGCACUACUUUUUUGUUUUCCUCUCCCCAUUACUAUCUUCACUGGCCCCACCCCACCCCACCCCUUCGUUUCUUCUUCUUUGUUCUUUUUUAUUUUUUCCACUGUUCCUUUUUUUCACCUCAUUUCUCUCCAUAUUCAGAGAACAUCAUCUUUCACAUAUUUCUUUUCAUUUUUCAUCCAUCUUCACGUAACAGUACUUCUUUUAUUUACUUUCUCAGUUUUCUUUUCCCCCCUUUCAGUCCAUUGAUCUAGCCAUCCACAACUCCGAUUUGGUCAUAUAACACACAUAUCCGACCACCCACAAAAAUCCCCAGCCCAGAUUCGACCACCGCGGCGAUCCCCCACCCAAAUCCGGCAACCUACCGCCAUUUUAGGCUAAAACCCGGUUCAUUAACCGGUUUCCGGUUGAACCGCAUUUUUUGCUCAUUGACCCCAAUUUUUGAUUUUUUUGGUUUAUACAACCUAAAGACAAAUUAGUAAAAAAAAUAUUUUUUUUUGGCGCCUAAGAAGAGAUUUGGCGGUAAAAUAAUAGUUGAUAAGGUAAAUCCACCUCUCCAAGUUUCCCACGAUAGAAUCCAUCGUGAUCUACUCCCGAAAUAUAUAUCUCCCUUUCAUUCCCUUGACCUUUCAUAUUACAUUAAAUCACCGAGAAACAGAUCUAGAAACAGAACAGGGGAACUAAUCAGAGGAUUUUUUGCUGGUAAAUUUACUUCAUCUAACGUAGUCCAUCUGUUUAUUUCAUUAUUUAUUCAUUAUUCAUUAGAGUAUUCUAAACUAUUGGAAUAACCCAUAACAUACAAAAUCUUGUUGGAUUAUAAUAGUUGGAAGUUUUUUUGAAAUUGUCUUUAAUAUGUCCUGUUCUUUCAAAUCCGUAUUAUGUUAUUGUGGUUUUCAUUUUACCAGAUAAUUGGAUUUAUCAUAUGAAUUGGUUUGCAUUUGCAUGUUAUAUUGGUAAAAUGACUCUUGAUUUUUUUUCUAUUCUCUGUGAUGGAGAUGGCGUGUUAUGCAAAAAAAAAAAAAAAUUAUGUUGCACUUAUUCAUACAAUCAAAAUUAACAGAGAUCAAUUUAUGUACAAAUUAAGCCUUAUAGCUAUAUUAGUAUAUAUUUAAUUAGUAUUGAAUUUUAUGAAGUAUUUUUUAUGUUUCUCUUUUAUUGAUAUCAAUAUCUUAAUUCUUUUCAGAUCUCAAGUCUAAUAAUGAGUACAGAUCAUAAACGUAGAAUGGAGUUAUUAACAGCAAUGGCAGCAACUAACAAUACCGGAAAUUUGAAGCGUAAGAAGGAGUUAGCAAAUGCUUUAACUGCAAAUGGUAUAGCUAAUGAGCCAACUGAGAAUUCGUCUCUUCGAAAUUUAAAUGGUAAUGAUAUUAACAUGUUAUUUUAAUUUAUUUGCAGUUAUAUAUAAAAAGUUAAUUUAAGUUAAUAUUUUGUACUUUGAAUAUUGUAGUUUCAAGUAGAAAUAAGAGAGUGUUUGUACCACCGACUAAAUCAAGUAUUUCAAACUCUUUGACUAGACAAUCGGCAACAAACCCAAAAACAAGCGAUAAAGGUAUUUUUUUUUCUAUGAUUGAGUUUAUUUUUGUAAACUUUGUUUAUUAAAUAGUAUAAAUUUAUAUAUUUCCUUAACGCAUGUAAAUGUAAUCAAUAUUUACAUCUAGAGUGCAUACAGAAGACCUUCACGUACAACAUGUGACUAAUGCUUCGAAUGAGCACACUGGAGUUGUUGUUACAGGUUUUGUUAAGUUGUAUAUUUUUAUUUUUAAAUAUUUUUACUUCUAACUUAUAUUUUAAAAAACUAAUUGUAGAAUCAGUCGUAGAUACGGUGGAUAAAGCAGAUGCGAUAAAAGGUAAUGUUAAACAUACUAUUUUUUUUUUUUUUUUAAUCUGUAUUGGUAUAUUAACUAUUGAUUUAUCUUUUAUUUACUUAUGUUAAUUAUGGAUUAGUGGGUCAAAAACGAGGUCGUGGACUGACUAGGGGGUUAAAUACCCAAAAGUAUAAACGCAAAUCCGGGGGGGAGAAGCCAAAAAUUGUUAUUCCUAAAGGAAUAAACAGACCCGUUGGGGAGCAUAGCUCCAAACAUGCAACCGAGAUUGGGGUCUUAAUUAGGUGUGAAGCUCCAAUGCAAGUUGAGGGUUGGGCGAAAAUUCCGGAUGAAACAAAAGAUCAUCUUCUUAGGAAGUUGACUGUAAGUGAUGUUGUUAGUUAUCUUCAUUUAAAAUUUUCUUUUAGUCCAUAUUUAACAAUAUCAUAGUACCUAAUUCAAAUGUUUAAAAUUUUCUAAAUGUCAAAAAGAAUAAGCUCAGUUAUGAACUGGAGGAGCCUCAUGUUGUUCAAUGCAUUUGGAAGUCUUUUGCCAAACAGUAUUCAUCUUUUCGUUCAAAUGCUCAUAAAUAUUAUUUAAAAUGGAAAGAAGGAGGUGGUGUGACACUAGCCAGACAGAAUAUAUACGAAAAACUCGGUGAUCGUCGUGACGAUUGGCUUUGGUUGUGCGAUUUUUGGGAGACAGCAAAGUUUGAGGUACUAUAUUAUUUUAGACAAUUUUUGUUAUAAUAAAUGGAUAUUACUGAUUAGAAAAAUGAUUCAUUACAUUAUUUUUUAUUAUUUUUCAAUAUUUACAGAAAGUUUCAAAUACUCAGAAAAGCAACAGGAAGAAACUGACAUAUAGUCAUAAAUUGGGAACAAAGUCUCGUGCAGCACAUCAACAUGAGAAAGUUAGUCAUAUAUUUUCUUACUAUGAAAUAUUUAGUUGUCGACGUAAAUUAACAUUUGAAUUGUUACAUCACAGGGUUUUGAUGAUAUUGAUAUGUAUGAGGUUGAAUACCAUAAUCCGAAAAAUGGAUGGGCAUAUAAAGAUUUUGAGGCAAAUAGUGUAAGUAUAAUUCAUAUUUAGGUUAUUUCUUAGUUUGUUUGAUCAAUUAUACUUGUGUGUUAAAAGUAAAUAAUUUAUCUAUAAAAUAAUUAACAUAUCGACUCAUAUUUGAAAAUAGGUUCGAAUGAAAGAAUUGAGAGAACAACAAAGAGCUUUGCCAGAAGGCGUUGAUCGAAUGACCACAGAAGAAAUUUGCAUAACAGUUUUAGGGGAAAAUUCAUCAUAUGCUAAAUCGAAAGGUCUUAAUCGAAAAGUAUCUGGAGUUGAUGCUAUUUCAUCGAAAAGUAUCUGGAGCACGAUUAGAAGAAGAGUUGGCGAACACACAAUCUGAGUUGGCAAGUACGAAAGCUGAGAUGGCUAUUCAGAAAACUACUGUAGAAGCGGUAGUAAAAUUCAUGGAGCAGAUGACUGGCAAAAGCUUUGCUGAAAUUAUAAACGUACCUAAUUGGUGAGUUCAAAACUAGAAUAAAUCCCGGUAUGAUUUUAUUAAUAACAUAAUUAUUUAUAGUUAAAUUUUUUUGCACUUAUUCAAGCUAUUCUUAAUUUUAUCAUGCAGAGUUAAUUAAAAAGAAAUGAAGAAGUAACUUGAUUGAGGUGUAUUUUGCUUUAUGAGACGUAUUAUUGCCAUGGGCAAAUUAUGAUUUAAGUUUUUAAAUUUAGUUGAUGUUUAUAUUUUGGGCAUAUUUCAUAGGGAUCUUUGUCUUAAUUUGGAUAUGAAUUAUGGUAAUUUUGCUUAACACUAUGAGUUUUUAGUUUUUUUUAUGAUAUGGUUAUCUGCUUUCUUUAGUGUCGUAUUAUCUUUAAAAAAUGAAAAAAGCUUCUUGUUUUGCGAAGGAAGUUUGCAUUCCGCCGGAGAAAAGAGAUUAGAAAACAAAGAGUUUUGCUUAUUAAUUUAUUUCUCGUAUUAUUUCAAUUUUUUUUCCUAUUUUACACUAUGAGUACACAAGAAUAUGAGUGGAAAUAUAUCAGAAUUAUGAGAGAGAGAGCGAACUAUGAAAGAGAGGGAAGAAACGAAAGAAAAGGGAAGGAAAAACAGGGUAGGUGGCAACGAAGAAUGAGACAUAAUCUCGGUGGAACUCUUCUGCCUAAAAUAGAAUAGCAAUGGUUGCUAUUGCUGCUGUAUUGCAGAAGACAUGUUUUCCCACAGUGUCCUUGAGGUUCAAGGUUCAGUAAAAAAAAUUCUCAAUCGAUUAUACUAUAGUAUAUAUUUGAAUUUGGAUUUACUAUUUGAUUUAUUUUAUUCAUGCAGAAGGAAGUCGAAGAAACAUUAUCUCAAGCUUUUGGAGAAAAGUCAAUUUUGUUUUCUGCUCAAACAAUUUUAAAGUUCAAUGGCGAAUCUGACCAACUUAUGGAUUUUAUUAGAAUUGGUACUACGUGAUCGAACAUAUGUGUUAGAAUUUAUUCAUAUUGUAUAGGUUUUAUUAUGUAGACGUAUUAUUGUAUAAUACAAGUAUUUUGUGUAAAAGUUAGUUCCAUAACCAAUCAUUAGUUCAUGUAGUUACAUUCUGUCAUUUUUUUAAAUAAAUUUAAUUAGCUGAAUUUAUAUGCUUACAAUUUAAUGAUUUUAAGACACUUUAGUUUUGUGUAAAAGACAUGUAGUAACUAUAUAUACAAUAUUUUUGUUAUUAAAUUGGUCACUGUUAAUAUUUAUUUAUAUCGACCAAAUGUAAUUCUCACUAAAUACUCCAACUUUGGACGCUAUACUAGUACCCGAGUCUUGUUAAAUUACAGUGACCAUCGAUAGUUACCAAAUAUCAGUUGGUCGUAAAAAAAUAAACAACUUAACAUUAGCAACUACAUUAUUUUUGGUGGCUACAUUCUUGCAAUGAAAAUAUCGUUAGCAACCAAAUUAAUUGGUCGUUAAUAGUUAUUUAAAAAUUUAUAGCGACCAUUGUUUGUUUAGUUACUAAAUUGGUCACUAUUAACAUUACUUACAACGACCGUUUUAAAACAAGUCGCUAAAGACUCUACUCAUGGUCGCUCAAGGAUCGACAACUAAUAGUGACCAUUUAUAGCUACCAAAUCUUGUUUGGUCGCAAAGAAAUUGAAGUAACUUCAAUUUUGCAACCAUAUUGUUAUUGGUGGCUAUAUAUACAUAUUUUGCGACUAUUUGUCUAUCGUCGCUAAAAAUUUGGUCGUUAAAGCUAGUUUUUCUUGUAGUGAGUUUGGUUCUCUCAUUAUUUCUUCAACUUGAUCGUUUUAAGUUUAUAAACUUGAAGAAUUUAUGAGAUUUUAAUUUUUUAUUGUUAUCAUUUAAAUUGAAUUGUAAGAUCUUUUAACAAUUAGAAUCAUGGUAGAAGAAUAUUCGAGUCAAUAUCUACAGAUAUGUCCAUUAUUGGCAUAUGAGUAUCAUAUGAAUAUACUAAUUCCCCUUAGGUUGAUAUUUUUCAAACUUAUGCUUCAUGCAUUAUAUUGUUCUACAUUAGCCUUAGGUACUCAUUUUUCAAACUUAUGCUUCAUGCAUUGUUCAAAAUUAAAUUGCAUAUGAAUACUGCAGUUUGGUUAGGAGAAAUAGAGAUAUAAUAGAUGCGGAACCGAAUCAUAAUUAAUGUAGUGUUUCACGUUAAUAAUCAUAAAUAAUAACUUUGGUUUGGCGAACAAUCUUCGCAUGCGAAAGAUAAACGUAUAGGUCUGUUCUACUGAAUUUAAUAUCGUGUUUAUUUGCUUUCUUAGUUAAUUAGAUAAUAAAAAUCAAACAACCUUUGGAUUUAUGGAUAAGAGCGUAGUUGUCAUAAUUUGGUACUUAGGAUAUGGUAACAUAUGUAUUCCCUGCGAGUUCGACACUCGACUCAUCUGAAUCCAACUUCCUACUUGUUUGCGAUAUGUGCACUUGCGAGUAGGAUUUUCUUAAUAGAUUUUUUGUGUCGUUGUUUCGGUAUAUAUGUCUAGAUUGUCGUAUUUUUCUAAUAUGAGAUCUAAACAUUUUUUCUUACUUCAGCUUGUUAUCUUUCAAGUUUCUUUUUUAGGUAUGCACUUAGAAGACAUUAGUGUUUAAUUGAAACAACAUCAGAGAUAUGAAAAUCUGCUUAACCAACCUCAAGAAGUCACUAUUCCACCACCAACGCGAAAUACAAUACCGCCAUCGAGCGAUUGUACCCGAGGACCUCUACAUGUUUUACUAUAAAGUGUGUAGAAUGCACACUUGUUGGCAUCUAUUUAAGCCAAGAAUCGAGCAACCGUAAAUCAUUUAUGUGUUGUUUGGUUGCAUUUUAUCUAAUAUUGCAUUUAUAAGUUUGACUCAUGCAUUUUGCAUUUCUUAUCUGUUUAUGUCGGAAUAUCGUGUCCAGAAGGCGUACAGGGCAACAUGAGGGACGACAACGGUCAAGGAACUCGAGGAACGAGAUAAAAUAAGCUAAACAUGGCGAUGAAACGACAAAGUACAUAAAUGUUGAAGAAGACCCAACGAUCGAUCGAUCAUAUGGACUCUAAUUAUAAUUAUGCCGAUCGACCAGUGGCUAAAUAGCUACCGAUCAAUAGGUCAUAGGUGCACACACUGACUUUAUAUAAAUAGGUUUUUACGUCAGAAUUUCGAGAGGAGAGACAUGAGGAUAGUUGGUUAUACAGAGUUGAGUCCAAAAAUCCUAGUUUUAGAGCAAAGAACUCGUGGGUUCCAAGCACGGAAUUUUAGAGCAACUAACAAGGCGCGAAAAAUGACGAUUCACGAGGACUCAAGCAUAGUUUUCUUCUUUCUUUUUAGAAUCCUAUUUUGUUUUUCAUAACAAUUAUGAGAAGUGGUGUUUCGACUAGUAAAUUGAAUCAACAAAUGCAUAAGAUGAAGAUUAGACUAUAGUCUCUCUUUAUAAAAGUAAUUAAUCUUGUUAAUUUUGAGUUUUAUAAUAAUAAAGCAACCAAUUAAAGUUCAAUUGAAUAACACCAACAUGUUAGUGAUUGAGAAUAAAUCAACUUGAUAGAGUCCACUUUACUUUAACAUAGAUCAAAUUUUAUUGAACUUGCAUAACAUGUAAUAAUACUUUUAAAAUUGUAAAAGAAAUUCAAUCACAGUGAAUCUUGAAUGGAAACCGUGGGUUUUUCUUCAAAACAUAAUAGCAGUUUGGCUAAAGUAAUAGAAAAACUAAUUAUUAUAAAAUUAACUCCGAAACAAGAUUGAAAAAAUACAAUAUUUAUGAAACCUAAAAAACCUCAAAAUUAAAUAUUUUUUGAAAUUUUACAUUAAUCUAUCUAUCUAUCUAUCUGAUUCGUGGUUGGCAUUUCAAAGCGGCAGAGUGGGCAACAAUGACUAGUGCUCAGCCACUUCUUGAUGCAGUAGUCGUGAUAAAUAUGCAAACACGGCAUGCUUAACGCUUCUUCAAAAUCAUUGUCGCCGCCCGACGACAGAUCUUCCAAACAAAUCGAGCAACUAAUAUUCCGAUCAGAAUCAACGGCCACCCUCUUCAAUGACGACAUUAUCGAUGAAUCCGCUGCCGGAAUCAUGAGAUAACAUUCCUCAUCAUCAAUUUCUGCGUAAUCAAUAUGUUGGUUAUCUACCAACACAUCAAAGUAAAAAUUCAAAACCCUGCCCUCUGCCGGAAUAUUGUUGUCGAGCCUUGUGAGCGCUUCGUCCCGCACAAGACCGGCCACGCUUGUGCGCAUAUAGCAAUUGUCUAAAACGCCCCUCAGCUCGAAGUCCAUGACCGCCUUUAAUUCAUCCUCGCACCGGAACUGCAUGCGGCUCACUCCAAAGGAUAAAUCAGUUGUGGAUGCAUUGAAUCGUGUGACUAACACGAGCGUGGAAUCUGGAUCAUCAGGUUGAAUUAUCCACUCGGAAAAAUCAGUUCUCCAUGUGAAGUUUAAGUUGAUUUCGAAAAAAAAAAGUUAGUGCUUCUCUUUGGGAGAGAGGAUGGAUUAUUAAUUAAUGUUGUCGGAUUGGGAAAUAAGAAUCCCAGUUGAGGUAUAUAUAUAUAUUUUUUGGUUGUGGACAAGGUUAAUAAUCCUUGGUGUACGAGGACUACGAGAGUUUGAAAGAGAAAAGGUAGGUAGUGAUCAAAUUUUGCCAACCUGUGAAUUUACGUACUUUGGUUCACGUACAUGACUUAAUAUACUUCGGUUUACUUGAAUAUUAGGUUUGUAAUCCUUUGUGUGCUAGGAUUAUAUUCUCAACACAAUAAUAUUACUUUUGAGCGUACCACAUCAAUAUUAUUCUUUUUGGCAUUUUUAUUUUGUUUUGUUUUCUUCAUCGGUAAUAAUAGUGUGAUUAACAGUCUUAUCAUUGUCUCUGGUAUUAUAAAUUAUAAUAUUAAUGUGGUUGACAGUUAUAUUAAUAUCAGCUUCACUAAUAUUAUUGUGGUUGACAGUAAUAUUAUCGACGAUAUUACUGUCAACCACAAUGUUAUUUUUUUUGGUUUUUUAUUUUGUUUUAAUUUUCUUCGUUGACCCGCGGUUAACAUAAUAAUAUUAUCGUACUACACAAUAAUUUAUUAUGAAACAUAGUAAUUUCGCUAUUUAAUGUCAUUGUGCUAGAUAGUACGUAAUAUAAUAAUAUUAUGGUGUAAAACAGUAAUAUGGUGAAUAUUACUCGUUGUUAGAGAAUAUAAUAUUAUAGAACUCUCCUAAUAGUAUGAUUCUAGUAUGAUUUGGUUACCUAGAUUAGUUAGGAUUUAGUUACCUAGCUAGCCAAACUCUAUUACCUUGCAAUAUUUCUCUAUAUAUAUUCCAUGUAAUUAACCCAUAACAAAAUGGGGGUUUCUAUUCUUCCUAUAUACUCGCAACCACAGUAAUAUUAUUGUUUUUACCGGAAAAAUGAAGAAAAAAAUUAUUUAAAAAUAAAAAUCAAGGUCGACCAAAAUCAAAAUUGAAGUCAAAUUGGUUUAGAAGAAAAAACGUAGAAAUAGGAGUAUUGGGUUGUAUUUUUGGUAGUGCUUCUACCCUAUGGGAAGCAUCAUAAUUUUUUUACUAGAAAAAAAAAAAGGUUUAUUGGACAUAGCCCUCAUUAAUUUACAAAAUACAAGUUAGAUAAUAAUGAACCAUGGUCGUGCAAGAAAGAAAGAAAAAAAAGUUACUGCUUCUCUUCUCUUUGGGUGAGAGGAUGGAUUAUUAAUUAAUUAAUGUGGUCGGAUUGGAAAAUAAGAAUCCCAGUUGAGGUUUAUAUAUAUUUUUGGUUUUGGACUAGGUUAAUAAAAUCAUUGGCGUACGAGGACUACGAGAGUUUGAAAGAGAAAAAAGGUACGUAUAUGAUCAAAUUUUGCCAACCUGUGAAUUCACGUACUUUUGUUUAAUAUGGAAAAACUUUGGCCAAUAACUUGGAGAAAAAGUAAUAUGCCAAGUAAACCUUCUUAUGGUUAUACACUGCUGUGUAUUACUACAAAAAGAAAGGAAUUUUUUUUUUUUUUAUCUUGGUUUCCUAGUUGUCAUUAAUUGAGUAUUUAUUUAUGUAAAAUAAAUCUUAUUAGACUAGGGUAUUUACCUCUUCACGUGAGGGGAGCCACCACUGAUACAUGGGAGUUGCAGUUAAAUCUCCUGUUGAUAUAGAAACAACUGUUAAUGAGACUGUUGCAACAGUUGAUAUACCUGUCGCUGAAACAGUUGGGCCAGCUGAUGAUGUAGACGAUUGUUUUGGCUUAUUUAUUGAUAAGACAAUAAGAAAUCACAUAUAUCUCUAAGAUUUAGAAUCCUACGUGACUUUAAUAUUUUGAAUAUCUUAUGGUGUAUGAUAUAAAAGAAGAGCAAGCUGAGCAUAAAGUUUGUACGGCAUCUUUGAGAGAAAAAAUUACACAGGAUAUUUUAUUUACUCUUAUUUUUAUUGGUGUCUUUUUUAUCGAGAGAAAAUUUGCGGAGAAAAUAUUUUGCACUCAUUGCUCCAUCGUGAUACGCGAUUUUCAUAAAAAAAAUAUAUCGGCUUCAAGGCUUUGUGGUGAAGACACCAAGAUUCAAGGAUUAUCACAUGUUUGCUUCUUCUAUACAAAAAGAAGAUCGGUUCUUCGGGAGAGGGGCUUAAACAGAUCUCGGGAGGAGAUCGAUCCGCCGACUGAAGAGAUUCAGAGUUGAAGGGAGUUCAACCGAGCAGAGAGGAGGCUGGCACAAUCGAAGUCACUAGUUUUAAGUAUUGCAUAAGAACGGCGUCAAGAUACAGAUGGAGUCUUUAAUUUAUUGUUUAAGUUCUAAUAUUGUGCUGGUAAAACUAAAAUAUUGAAUAUUCGCUUUUGCAGAUCCUCGUAGAUGUAGGGUACAAUUGUAUCUGAACAACAUUAAAUUUGUGUCUCGUUCAUUUCUGUUUUUACAAACUGUUUCAUGAACUGUCGCAACACUUCACGCAACAGUAACUAAAAACUGAAUCCGACACAAACAACUAAUAUUUGAACGAAAUAAAUUCUAACAAUUGGCAUCAAGAGCCUCUCACUAGAUAUACUUUGUGAGAUUUUUUAAAUUAAUUAAUUUAUUUUGUUACGUGCAAAUAUGUUUCAUCGUGAAGGAGCGUCUACAGUACGACCACCUCUCUUGGAUGGAUCAAAUUACUCUUACUGGAAAUCGAAGAUGAAGAUGUUCAUCAAGUUUGUUGAUGAACGAGCUUGGCGCGCUAUCGUGAUUGGUUGGACCCCGCCCAUGGCUAAAGGAACAGAUGGUAUGGAGACAGUAAAACCAGAAGAAACAUGGAUUAAUGAAGAGAUAUUACUUGCCAUUUACAACUCAAGGGCGAUAAACUCAAUUUUCAGUGGUGUUGGUGACAAUCAGUUCAAACUGAUAUCAUCGUGUGAAUUAGCAAAAAGGGCAUGGGAGAUCUUGCAAGUGAUGUACGACCGCACAUCAACUAUUAAAACAUCUAAGCUGUAGAUAUUAGCCACAAGAUUUGAGAGUCUUCGUAUGGAGGAGGACAAGACGAUUGCUGAUUUUCACACUAAAUUGUGUGAUAUUUCAAAUGAAUCUUAUGCACUAGGUGAACAAUACUCGGAAAUAAAGUUGGUAAGAAAGGCACUAUGUUCAUUAACAUAAAGAUUCGCUUACAGAGUUGCAACAAUCGAAGAAGUGAGGGAUAUCAACACGCUAAAGCUAGAUGAGCUCAUGGGUACAAACCCAUGAAAUGAAUUUUAGAGCAAAUAUUCGAGAAAAGAAAAAGGUGAAGAAGC
Molecule: long non-coding RNA, 12967 nt
Filed under: Erythranthe guttata (spotted monkey flower)
Lineage: Eukaryota; Viridiplantae; Streptophyta; Magnoliopsida; Lamiales; Phrymaceae
Description: long non-coding RNA (EGUT_LNC003043)
Source: RNAcentral